Molecule: transfer RNA, 72 nt
Filed under: Ipomoea nil (Japanese morning glory)
Lineage: Eukaryota; Viridiplantae; Streptophyta; Magnoliopsida; Solanales; Convolvulaceae
Rfam family: tRNA
About the family: Transfer RNA (tRNA) molecules are approximately 80 nucleotides in length. Their secondary structure includes four short double-helical elements and three loops (D, anti-codon, and T loops).
Source: Rfam by way of RNAcentral
UUUGUUGUAGUCUAGUUGGUUAGGAUACUCGGCUCUCACCUGAGAGACUGGGUUCAAAUCCCGGCAACGGAA